UACGUAGGGUGCGAGCGUUGUCCGGAAUUAUUGGGCGUAAAGAGCUCGUAGGCGGUGUGUCACGUCGGCCGUGAAAACCUGCAGCUUAACUGUGGGCGUGCGGUCGAUACGGGCAUCACUGGAGUUCGGCAGGGGAGACUGGAAUUCCUGGUGUAGCGGUGAAAUGCGCAGAUAUCAGGAGGAACACCGGUGGCGAAGGCGGGUCACUGGCCCGGUACUGACGCUGAGGUGCGAAAGCGUGGGGAGCAAACAGG
Molecule: ribosomal RNA, 254 nt
Filed under: uncultured bacterium
Lineage: Bacteria
Description: partial 16S ribosomal RNA
Rfam family: Bacterial small subunit ribosomal RNA
Source: RNAcentral